Molecule: long non-coding RNA, 269 nt
Organism: Magnolia sinica
Lineage: Eukaryota; Viridiplantae; Streptophyta; Magnoliopsida; Magnoliales; Magnoliaceae
Exons: 3
Source: RefSeq, a predicted model, not a curated record
CAUGUGACCGAUGAGGACUAGCAGAUACUCUGCGAUAGGUUUUUGUCUGAUUCUUUUCAGAAGAGGAGCAAAAUAAAUUCUGACAAUAGAGGAAAGUUAGAAGUGAACCACGUAGCUGGUUCAAAGUCAUUUGUAUGACUUCGUCACGACAUGCGAGAUUCCGUCACUAGCCAAGAGCCCGGACCAGUAGACUUCUACAAAGGGACUCACUAUCGGUAGGCGACAGGAUCUUGGGUACAUCCUAGAGCCAGCGAGAUUUGGGUAAAGAU